Lycium ferocissimum is the source of this 690-nucleotide long non-coding RNA. RefSeq lists it as uncharacterized. The transcript has 2 exons. The record is from RefSeq and is a predicted model, not a curated record. Lineage: Eukaryota; Viridiplantae; Streptophyta; Magnoliopsida; Solanales; Solanaceae.
UUAUAUAAACACUUUUCAAAAUAAGCUGAUUUUAGAAGUUUGACCAAACAAACUAUAAAUUCGAGUUUGUGUCGAGAAGUCCUACAUUAGUGGAGUAAUGCGAUUUUAUACAUAAUGGCCGAAUCUGCAACCUCUAAUUAAGGAAGGAGGAGUACUUAUCGGUACUCGUUUUUUGGGAUGUCAGAUUCUUUGCGCAUUCUUACUUUGAUUAUGUCUUGUGUGCCAAUUCCAUACUUGGCUCUUGAUCAAUUCAAAUUCUUCAAUUAAAGAAAUGUUUUACUUGUGCUUGACUAAAUCUUCGUACUAAUUGUGUCCUUUCAAUUGCCUCUUCUAAUUACGCCAACAUCCAACGUAAUCCUUGAACAAAUCAAAGGGAAUUAAGUUGACAAUAUGAGUUUCCUAUGCUAUAAAUAUCACCAUUUAAUCUGUUUGUUUCUUCAUCAAGAAUCCACGAAAAAAUAUAUAGCAGCUAUGGCCAAGUACACAACUUUUCUUGCUAUCCUCUUUUGCCUCAUGUUUGUUGCCGCAACUGCCAUACAAAUACAAACAGAAGAUGGAAAAUAUUGCUGGAAGAAAAGUCACAAGUGGAAUGGGCCUUGCCACUACUCUUACAAAUGUAGCCAUCACUGUAAGCAUGGAUAUGGAGCUAAAUAUGGAAUUUGUAAGAAGUACAAAUGGGGUAAUCACAAA